RNAcentral lists this long non-coding RNA (280 nucleotides) under Panax ginseng (ginseng). Its description in RNAcentral is "long non-coding RNA (PGIN_LNC016310)". Lineage: Eukaryota; Viridiplantae; Streptophyta; Magnoliopsida; Apiales; Araliaceae. The record is from RNAcentral.
CCAGCAAGUUUAAAUACAACAAUAUAAGGAUAUAUCAUGAUUGAAGAGUAUGAAUAAUAAGCUGGCUAUAAUUCAUCAAUAUAAUUGAGAACUAGCAGGAACAAACUUUUGACUGAACAAGUUUUAAACAUGAACAAACAUUUCUGAACCAACUGGUAAUGAAGGUGAUCAGCCUUUCAUACCUGACUUAUACAUGCAAGAUGUACAAAGUACAAUUUUCAUGGCAAUCAUUAAUGAUUAACCAUAAGCUUGAAUAAAACACUCUUAUUAGAGUUAAGUA